CGUCUGAAUUAACCGUAGAUAAGAAGUGGGCAGCCACAUGUUCCGGAAGUAUGUUGGCCAGCAGCUUUUGGUUGUAGGCUUUCAGGUGCUCCAUUUCUUCUUUCUCCUCGGUUGCUUGCAACUUCCACAAGAAGUCCAACCUGCAUUAGCUUCUGUGUGUUGGGAAUGGGCAAUGAGACACGUCAUAAAGAAAAUGACCAGAACACCCGCUAACCAUCUUCCAGUCAAUUCUACAUCUCUUUCGUGAGAGAAACUCGCCCCGGUAUUCCGCCGCUUUCCAUGUAGUUGGCCAGGGUGACGUCGUUGCUCCAGACGUCGAACUGCCACUUCCUCAAGCCAAGGACCCCGCAAUGAACUCUGCCUGUGUGUAUCCCCACUCUCAUGUUCACGUUCACCGCACCAACC
RNAcentral lists this unclassified non-coding RNA (405 nucleotides) under Bombus terrestris (buff-tailed bumblebee). Its description in RNAcentral is "misc RNA ENSBTSG00005028937.1". Lineage: Eukaryota; Metazoa; Arthropoda; Insecta; Hymenoptera; Apidae. The record is from RNAcentral.